This is a long non-coding RNA of Labeo rohita (rohu), 560 nucleotides long. RefSeq lists it as uncharacterized. The record is from RefSeq and is a predicted model, not a curated record. NCBI's taxonomy places the organism in Eukaryota, Metazoa, Chordata, Actinopteri, Cypriniformes, Cyprinidae. The transcript is spliced from 3 exons.
CCACCUUCUCUUGGUCGUAUUCACCAAAGCAGCAGAAGAAGAAAAAACAUAAAGUCAGCAGUCAUUCUAGCAUGGUUGACACACGUGGUGAAAGAGCAAGAGUAGGACACUUACCAGCAGCUGGAAGAACACGUCAAUGUCGAAGAGGAACCCUUGGAUGUUUUAGAAAUAUUUUUGUUUCAUUCAUUUAAUUUUUACAAUGUAAUUCACGUUAAUUCAUAGUCGAUACACUUGGUUCUUUUAUAGCCAAACUAUAUAGCACACUACCUAUGCAUGCUGAGCUUUCUAGCAGCUUGCAAUAUUGUAAGUGGUAUAGAUUUUAUUUGUAUUUAAGUGGUUUCAAAAAAAUAAAUGAUUAAAACACUACCACUGGAAGUCUCAUAAUUGCACAAUAGUUCUGCUUAACAGUUGUAAAUAACUAUUAAAAGGUAAAUGCAAUAAAGCUUCUAAUUGUUGAGAUCACCAUUAACACAUUUAAUUACAAUUUAUUUUGCUGUAGAUUCUAAGUACAAAAGCAAACGAUAAAAGCACACUAAGUUUAAUAUAAGAGGAGGACAAAG